AUUACCAAUCAUCAUUAAUUAUUUCAUUCAGUGCAAAAUCGGAACCAGGGGGAAUGUCUUUCCUAUUAGGAUUAGUGGAUUACCUAAUAGAGCAUGUGCCCUUCUGAUCAUCUGAAUUUUUAUGGGUCUCCACACAUUAGAUUGGGCAAGUACUAGCCUCCCAAGCCUCACCAAAUUUGCAGCCCAUAAAAAAUAUAGUUGUAGAAGAUCUUAUUACAUGCAAUGAGGUCUCUCCAUGUGCUUCAUAUAGUUUAUUACCUCCGCAUCAAAUGAAUAGUGAAGAGUACCAACAUCAUCCAUUGAGGACCACAUGACAUUUGAUUCCUCUCCUUGUUCUGACCCGACAACCGCCCACUGU
RNAcentral lists this long non-coding RNA (358 nucleotides) under Elaeis guineensis (African oil palm). Its description in RNAcentral is "long non-coding RNA (EGUI_LNC016453)". Lineage: Eukaryota; Viridiplantae; Streptophyta; Magnoliopsida; Arecales; Arecaceae. The record is from RNAcentral.